GACGAACCGUGCGAACGUUGUUCGGAAUCACUGGGCUUAAAGGGCGCGUAGGCGGUCUGCCAAGUCCGGGGUGAAAGCCCCCAGCUCAACUGGGGAAGUGCCUCGGAUACUGGCGGACUUGAGGGAGGCAGGGGUUGUGGGAACUUCCGGUGGAGCGGUGAAAUGCGUUGAUAUCGGAGGGAACGCCGGUGGCGAAAGCGCACAACUGGUCCUCUUCUGACGCUGAGGCGCGAAAGCCAGGGGAGCAAACGGG
This 253-nucleotide ribosomal RNA is filed under the name uncultured bacterium. RNAcentral describes it as "partial 16S ribosomal RNA". It matches the Rfam family "Bacterial small subunit ribosomal RNA", at positions 524 to 776 of the family's 1533-position model. The record is from RNAcentral.